This 775-nucleotide ribosomal RNA is filed under the name uncultured Neocallimastigales. Its description in RNAcentral is "partial large subunit ribosomal RNA". It matches the Rfam family "Eukaryotic large subunit ribosomal RNA", at positions 24 to 611 of the family's 3401-position model. Lineage: Eukaryota; Fungi; Neocallimastigomycota; Neocallimastigomycetes; Neocallimastigales. The record is from RNAcentral.
UACGACUACAUAUCAGGCAUAUCAAUAAGCGGAGGAAAAGAAACUAACAAGGAUUCCCCUAGUAACGGCGAGUGAAGCGGGAAGAGCUCAAAUUUGAAAUCUUAAAGGGUUUCCCUUUACGAAUUGUAGUUUAAAGAAGUGUUUUCUGUUGGAGUUUCGGUAAAAGUUCUUUGGAAUAGGACAUCAUAGAGGGUGAGAAUCCCGUAUUUGACCGUUACUUUCCAGCUGUGUGAUACACUUUCAAAGAGUCGGAUUGUUUGGGAAUGCAGUCCAAGAUGGGUGGUAAAUUUCAUCUAAAGCUAAAUAUUGGCGAGAGACCGAUAGCGAACAAGUACCGUGAGGGAAAGAUGAAAAGAACUUUGAAAAGAGAGUUAAACAGUACGUGAAAUUGUCAAAAGGGAAGCGUUUGACACCAGUGUUGUUUAGUUGAAAAUCAAUUCAAUAGUUUUUGAUUCUAAGUAGUAUUGACUUCAUCAGCUUGCUGCUUUCUUCUCAGAAAUUAUUGAAUGCACUUUUCAGUUAACAAGUCAACAUCAAUUUCUUUUGUUGUAAAAGGGUAAGAGGAAGGUGGCUUGCGCUUCGGCUCAAGUGUUUAUAGCCUUUUAUCUCUGCAAUCGGAGAGAUUGAGGUCUGCAGCGUAGAUCCUUCGGGGUUAGAUACAUUGGUGCUAAGCUAUAGCCUUGUAUAGACAACUUGUUGACUAUGCUCAGUCAUGUAGCUUACUCGCUGAUGCUAUUUUACCUACGCUUAGGAUGUUGAACGCGCACAGAGUCUC